ACACUUUUUAAUCUCUCGAACCAUUUCUCCUAAAUCUCUGGAAAGAGACAAGGAGGAUGGUCAUUGGGUAUUUCGUGAAACCGGAAUGCCUCCCGUGCUUGGAAAGGCGAGAUUAAAGUUUUUUU
RNAcentral lists this non-coding RNA (125 nucleotides) under Candidatus Schekmaniibacteriota. RNAcentral describes it as "Candidatus Schekmanbacteria MoCo sequence". It matches the Rfam family "Molybdenum/Tungsten riboswitch aptamer (Moco RNA motif)". The record is from RNAcentral.